This 429-nucleotide ribosomal RNA is filed under the name Actinomycetes bacterium. RNAcentral describes it as "Actinobacteria bacterium partial 16S ribosomal RNA". It matches the Rfam family "Bacterial small subunit ribosomal RNA", at positions 355 to 776 of the family's 1533-position model. The record is from RNAcentral. Lineage: Bacteria; Bacillati; Actinomycetota; Actinomycetes.
UAGGGAAUCUUCCGCAAUGGGCGAAAGCUUGACGGAGCAACGCCGCGUGAGUGAUGAAGGUCUUCGGAUCGUAAAACUCUGUUAUUAGGGAAGAACAAAUGUGUAAGUAACUAUGCACGUCUUGACGGUACCUAAUCAGAAAGCCACGGCUAACUACGUGCCAGCAGCCGCGGUAAUACGUAGGUGGCAAGCGUUAUCCGGAAUUAUUGGGCGUAAAGCGCGCGUAGGCGGUUUUUUAAGUCUGAUGUGAAAGCCCACGGCUCAACCGUGGAGGGUCAUUGGGAACUGGAAAACUUGAGUGCAGAAGAGGAAAGUGGAAUUCCAUGUGUAGCGGUGAAAUGCGCAGAGAUAUGGAGGAACACCAGUGGCGAAGGCGACUUUCUGGUCUGUAACUGACGCUGAUGUGCGAAAGCGUGGGGAUCAAACAGG